UUUUGAUCUCAAAUUCCUUCGAUCGACAGCUAUUUAAGGUCUCAACACUCCUUUGCGAUCAAUCCCCCAUCUUGAUCUUUCUUCUUCCCUACUGUUCUCUGGAAGCCGCGGAUUGGAUUCAUUGCUCUCGCCGGAUAAACUUCGCCGGAAGUAAGUUCUGCAGAAAUGAACAGUGAGCAGCCAAAGAGAAACGGCAAGAUGCUGACGCUGACAUCAUCAAGCGAACGGAAACGGAAGCAGACAUCACAGGAGCAGGAGCAGGAGCCGACAACACUCGAAGAAGCGGCACACGGAGUAGGACGAGACCCGGAAAAAAUGAUUAAAUACUUUGCGCUGUUGGAGAUAGAAGUCAAGAAGUUGGUACCCCAAUUCGAAGCUCAAAACAUGAUGUCCGUAGCCAAUAUUCUGCGUGAUCUCCCUGAUAAUUUGGCGGAUGCUUUUGGAGGAAUCCAUGAAGAAUGGAGGAAUCCAUGAAGAUCUGCAGAUAGACCCAAGAACGAGGAUUGAUAGCAAUAAUUUUUUCAAUCGUACAGAUGGCGGUUCGUAGGGUUUGACAGCAGCACCCAUUUUUUCUCAAUUGAUUUUAGAUUGCAUAGUAUUGUUGGUGCUAGGGAUUGGUGGUCAAUAAGUUUAGCUUACAUUGGAUAAAAUGUAAGUUGGGAUUUGUUGAGAGAUUGAAAAUAUUUUUAUUUGUUAAUAAAAGAAUAUUUUGUUU
Molecule: non-coding RNA, 715 nt
Organism: Elaeis guineensis (African oil palm)
Lineage: Eukaryota; Viridiplantae; Streptophyta; Magnoliopsida; Arecales; Arecaceae
Source: RefSeq, a predicted model, not a curated record